Molecule: ribosomal RNA, 468 nt
Filed under: uncultured bacterium
Lineage: Bacteria
Description: partial 16S ribosomal RNA
Rfam family: Bacterial small subunit ribosomal RNA
Source: RNAcentral
GACGAACGCUGGCGGCGUGCUUAACACAUGCAAGUCGAACGGAAAGGCCCUGCUUUUGUGGGGUGCUCGAGUGGCGAACGGGUGAGUAACACGUGAGUAACCUGCCCUUGACUUUGGGAUAACUUCAGGAAACUGGGGCUAAUACCGGAUAGGAGCUCCUGCUGCAUGGUGGGGGUUGGAAAGUUUCGGCGGUUGGGGAUGGACUCGCGGCUUAUCAGCUUGUUGGUGGGGUAGUGGCUUACCAAGGCUUUGACGGGUAGCCGGCCUGAGAGGGUGACCGGCCACAUUGGGACUGAGAUACGGCCCAGACACAUACGGGAGGCAGCAGGGGGGAAUAUUGCACAAUGGGCGGAAGCCUGAUGCAGCAACGCCGCGUGCGGGAUGACGGCCUUCGGGUUGUAAACCGCUUUCGCCUGUGACGAAGCGUGAGUGACGGUAAUGGGUAAAGAAGCACCGGCUAACUACGUG